Long non-coding RNA from Papilio xuthus (Asian swallowtail), 183 nucleotides. RefSeq lists it as uncharacterized. NCBI's taxonomy places the organism in Eukaryota, Metazoa, Arthropoda, Insecta, Lepidoptera, Papilionidae. The transcript has 3 exons. The record is from RefSeq and is a predicted model, not a curated record.
CCGCCCCCGCGGACCCCGAGCUGACAUACUGGCGCGGCGACGCGCGCGCCAAGGUGUGGGUGAGCGCCGCCGGACCCGCGGAGCGCAUGCCGAUGUGGUGCCCGCCGACCCCGCCCUCCAGCGACGGCGACGUGUACUGCGACACCUGGGCGCGACCGCUCUACCGGCGCGGCGCCGCGGCCG